UCAUGGCUCAGAGCGAACGCUGGCGGCGUGCUUAACACAUGCAAGUCGAGUGCGCAGCUUUCUGUAGCAAUACAGGGUGUGGGCGCACGGCGCACGGGUGCGUAACACGUGGGCAAUCUGCCCUCGGAUGGGGGAUAACUCGUCGAAAGGCGAGCUAAUACCGCAUGACAUUCCGGAGACCCUGGUCUCUGGAUUCAAAGGCCGCAAGGCCGUCUGAGGAGGAGCCCGCGCCCGAUUAGCUAGUUGGUGAGGUAACGGCUCACCAAGGCUAUGAUCGGUAGCCGGUCUGAGAGGAUGGCCGGCCACACUGGAACUGAGACACGGUCCAGACUCCUACGGGAGGCAGCAGUGGGGAAUAUUGCGCAAUGGGCGAAAGCCUGACGCAGCGACGCCGCGUGGGGGAUGAAGCUUUUCGGAGUGUAAACCCCUUUCGACCCGGACGAAUGACCCGCAAGGGUUUGACGGUACGGGUAUAAGAAGUCCCCGGCUAACUACAGUC
Molecule: ribosomal RNA, 499 nt
Filed under: uncultured bacterium
Lineage: Bacteria
Description: bacterial SSU rRNA
Rfam family: Bacterial small subunit ribosomal RNA
Source: RNAcentral